RNAcentral lists this ribosomal RNA (460 nucleotides) under uncultured bacterium. RNAcentral describes it as "partial 16S ribosomal RNA". It matches the Rfam family "Bacterial small subunit ribosomal RNA", at positions 338 to 795 of the family's 1533-position model. The record is from RNAcentral.
CCUACGGGGGGCAGCAGUGAGGAAUAUUGGUCAAUGGCCGGAAGGCUGAACCAGCCAAGUCGCGUGCGGGAAUAAGGCCCUAUGGGUCGUAAACCUCUUUUGUCAGGGAGCAAAGGCGUCCCCGAGUGGACGAAAGGAGAGUACCUGCAGCAAACGCCUCGGCUAACUCCGUGCCAGCAGCCGCGGUACUACGGAGGAUGCGAGCGUUAUCCGGAUUUAUUGGGUUUAAGGGGUGCGUAGGCGGAGUGUCAAGUCAGCGGUAAACUUUCGGGGCUCAACCCCGUCGUGCCGUUGAAACUGACACCCUUGAGUGAGUGAGAAGUAAGCGGAAUGCGUGGUGUAGCGGGGAAAUGCAUAGAUAUCACGCAGAACGCCGAUUGCGAAGGCAGCUUACCGGCGCUCAACUGACGCUGAGGCACGAAAGUGCGGGUACCGAACAGGAUUAGAUACCCCUGUAGUC